Molecule: long non-coding RNA, 458 nt
Organism: Panicum virgatum (switchgrass)
Lineage: Eukaryota; Viridiplantae; Streptophyta; Magnoliopsida; Poales; Poaceae
Exons: 2
Source: RefSeq, a predicted model, not a curated record
CGCUGACUAGUUAACACAUAUUAGAAAAUAUCUAAUCCUUGUGCCUUCUCGUACCCACUCCUGCUGUACCUCACAUUUCCUCCAUUAUCUUCUCCCUUUCCAUUCCAUACCCCCUCUCUCUAAGCAUGGCUGGCCACCACCUCCGAGGGCGGCGGCGCGCCUCCGCUGCCGUGUCCCUGCCCGUCAUCGGCAUAUCAGCGAGCCAACGAGUCAGAAUCCCAGUUAAAUUGAGGACAGGAUGGCGAUGAUGCCGGCCGAGCAGUUGCUGCAGGACAUGGUGGCAGUGUGCGACAAGUUCUACGACUAACACAAACGAAGAAGAAAAUUGGAGCUAGUCUUCUAAUUUUCUUCCUUAAUUUUAUAGGUUUCUAUCUUGUAGUUGUGAUGCUCCUCAUUUGAGGUUUAGGAUCUAAGAACUCUUGUAACUUUUUUGGCUGCAGUCAUUCACGUGUGAACAA